GACGAACGCUGGCGGCGUGCCUAAUACAUGCAAGUUGAGCGAUGAAGAUUGGUGCUUGCCCCAAUUUGAAGAGCAGCGAACGGGUGAGUAACGCGUGGGGAAUCUGCCUUUGAGCGGGGGACAACAUUUGGAAACGAAUGCUAAUACCGCAUAACAACUUUAAACAUAAGUUUUAAGUUUGAAAGAUGCAAUUGCAUCACUCAAAGAUGAUCCCGCGUUGUAUUAGCUAGUUGGUGAGGUAAAGGCUCACCAAGGCGAUGAUACAUAGCCGACCUGAGAGGGUGAUCGGCCACAUUGGGACUGAGACACGGCCCAAACUCCUACGGGAGGCAGCAGUAGGGAAUCUUCGGCAAUGGACGAAAGUCUGACCGAGCAACGCCGCGUGAGUGAAGAAGGUUUUCGGAUCGUAAAACUCCGUUGGUAGAGAAGAACGUUGGUGAGAGUGGAAAGCUCAUCAAGUGACGGUAACUACCCAGAAAGGGACGGCUAACUACGUG
This 497-nucleotide ribosomal RNA is filed under the name uncultured bacterium. Its description in RNAcentral is "partial 16S ribosomal RNA". It matches the Rfam family "Bacterial small subunit ribosomal RNA", at positions 28 to 507 of the family's 1533-position model. The record is from RNAcentral.